This 954-nucleotide long non-coding RNA is filed under the name Mustela putorius furo (domestic ferret). Its description in RNAcentral is "lncRNA (ENSMPUG00000026918.1)". Lineage: Eukaryota; Metazoa; Chordata; Mammalia; Carnivora; Mustelidae. The record is from RNAcentral.
AUCUGCUAGGAAUUUGUGUUAUUUGUUGGGGUUUCCCUGAGGCACAAGGACUGAAUUCAGACAGUUUCUAUGGCAACUAUCUGAGAGGCCAAACACAUCCUUAGCAACACAGGUCAAAGGUUUUUUGGGGGGUGGGGAAGGAAUUUUGAAAAGCCACCACCACUUGCUUUUAACCGUGGACCACUGACAAAUACACAGUCAGGGCUGCUGGCCUUGCUGCUUCGGGCUGAUGCCCUGAUUCACCACAGCUCACAAAAUACACAUCUCCCCGCACCCUGCAUCUGGGUCCAGCCUGAACAACAGUACAGAAGCAGCUAACACUUACUGAAAACGACUUGCCUGGCACCUGCUGCGACUUCUCUAUGUGUUACCUUACUGAUUUCUCAUGAAAACCCUACGAACCAGGGACUAUGGAAACAUCUGCCUCUUAGAGAGCAAAAAUCAAAAGGUGUGCAUAACGCAGGGAAAGAGCAAGAGCACAACCAGCUGUCUAGAUGGACUUGCUUCUCGAAUCUCUUAAGAAGCCCAGAGGGCUCUAAGCCGCAUUUAUCUUGAGAACUUCAAAAGGGAAACCAUCUCCUCAUAUGCCAAUGGUUUAGCCUACUCAGUGGAUCACAGGUCUAGGAAAAAUCCUUCUCCUUUGUCUCACAGCCAACAUAACUGUAUAAGGAAAGGAGAUCAGCUGAAGCUCGGCAAUUCGCAAAUUCACAACACCUCGGUCCACCCGUUAGUUAAAUAAAAUGACCUCGUUCUGUAAAAUCAAGUAUCUUCCCUUGUAUGUUUCACUUCCUGAAAUCAUUGACAAGACUCUCACCAGCACUGCUCUAAAAGGAGUUUGCUUCUUUAGAAACUUUUAAAUAAUGUAUGUAAAAAAAAACUUUUAAAUCUAUAAUGUGGUUUCUAAAGAUUCUAUUUGUUUACUUGAGAGAAAGAAAGAGCAUACGUAUGCAGGAG